This is a long non-coding RNA of Epinephelus moara (kelp grouper), 2494 nucleotides long. RefSeq lists it as uncharacterized. NCBI's taxonomy places the organism in Eukaryota, Metazoa, Chordata, Actinopteri, Perciformes, Serranidae. The record is from RefSeq and is a predicted model, not a curated record. The transcript is spliced from 5 exons.
GGAAUCGCCUGUCUGCAUAAGUGCUGCAGCUGCUCGCACAGGACCCCGGAGUUGUGACCCGGAGACAGCAGAAGUCAGAAGGAAAGCAAAAAGAUCGAGAGAAAGGUAUUUAAACAAAGUUAAUUUUAAUGCAUUUCUUGUUCAGGCCUGUGAAAACAACCCUAAUGUUAACAUAUUACCGACAGUAACAUUUAUCUUUACGUUUAUGUGUUUGUCCCUCACGUGAUAAGUUUAAGAAACAGCCAGACCUAUCUUAAUGUCAGCUAGUUGUUCUUAAUGACUCCUUCCUGGUUGCAAUUUCAGAUGAGUAUUUUAAAUUAUUUUCAAAAGAAGAGGAAAGUUCCCGAGGAGGAGAGUCAGGUAACAAUAGAUAAAGAGGCUCAAUUCACGUUCCGAGGUGUUUGAUUAGCCUUCAUGUUCCGAGGAGUAGAAAUAACCCGGUGUUUUCCGUGGCAAGUGUUGUAUUUAAAUGUUCAUAACUUUGCGUUGUCCACAACUGAAUUAGAUAAGUUCACAGGCACAAGUUGAGGAGGUGAGUGGAGGAGGAGAGAAAGCUGGAGGCGCAGAGCAGGAAGGUGCAACAGCGUCUUCCAGCACUGCAAUGUGUGGUGAGGCAGGAGAAAGCACCAGGGAAGAAGAAUGUGAAGAAGAAGAGGCCACCUGUAAGAAAAACAGCAAGCAUCUGCUGACUGGAGCCUUCAAGAAUAUGGACCAGGUCAGCAUAAUGUCAAAAAUGGCAUCCCAGAAUGAUGAAUGGGGACAGCUGUACCCAUGCGUGAGCCAGCUAUCAGCCAUUGCUUCUGUGAGAGAGAUUUCCCGGCAAUGAACAGAGUGAAGACAGACCUGAGGAACAGGCUGCAGGGGGACCAUAUGGCAGCAUGCCUCCUACUCAGCAUCAAUGGGCCACCUCUGGCUGAGUUCCCGUAUCACAGAGCAUUAGAACUCUUUUUCAAAAAAGCGAGAAAACUUUCUUGAAAAAGUCUGACAAUGGGAACGUGUGCUUGACUGACUUCACCUCGAUUGAAGCAUCUAACUUUAACCAUGACCACCUCCAACUGCUCUUGCAACCUGAAUCCAGCUCUUUCACAAGCAUCUACCUUGACAGGAACAUGAAUUUGUAUUUGGAUCCCCAGAGAAAUACUCCUUUCCCUGGUCCCCUAUACCAUAAGGCUUACGACCUCACCACAUAAUACUCUACUGCGGAUCUAUCUGUCAGAGUGCAUCUGGUUGAACUGGACAACUGCAAGGAUACUGUUGAGCCAAUACCCGAACCAUCACCAUCACCAUCACCACCACCACCAUCAUCAGCACCAUCGCCAUCACCAUCACCAUCGCCCAUACCAAACAUUGACGGCUUCAACAGGGACCAACACUAUUUUUGAUUGACCUGAUGCACCAGCACAUCAGAGUGGAAGGUAGCGGUCUUCCAAAGAACCUGCAAGAGCUGAAUACACGGCUAAGAACUGCCAAGUCCAACAAGAAAAUGCUGUGGAAAGAGGCAGCAGAUAAGUUGGGAAGCCAUUUCCAACAGAUUUUCUGCCCUGACAAGGUGGCCAGAAAAUGGAACACACUUGUUGAUGCAAAAAGGUAAAAGACAAUAAUAACUCAACAGAGAGGGGAGCCAUGCGCUUCCAGUUUUAUAGUGAAAUGGAAGCCCUUCUGGGAGAGCAGCAUGAUGUGGUGUUCCCUGACAUCAGAGCGGCUUGAAAUUCUUGAUUUGAAAGACUUGAGGUGCUGGGACGUUGCUGCAGCAGCAGCAGCAGCAGCAGCAGCACAGCAUUAGCUGACACAGUAUCCAGCCCUAUAGUAAACACAGGACCAAAAGCAACCACAUCCACCCCACACAACCCCCGUAAACGUAGGUUGGUGAAUGAUGAGGUGAUGGAGUUCCUGUGACAGUCAGGAGAGGCCAGUCAGCUGCGCCACCAAGAGACAAUGGCACAACUGAAGUCUGCACAACAGGGUUUUGAGGCUCUGAUGACAAAAUUCCUGGAAAAAAUUUAAUGUUGCCAGGUGUGGUGUGUUAAAUGUAAGUUCAAUUUUCAUGUGGUUUAUUCAGUGCACCUUUUUAAAUAAUUGCACCUAAACAUUGUUUGCACUACUUUCUAUGUUUACAGAGCCAUUUUCUUUCUUGCACAUAAAGUGUUUGCACUACGUUCUAUUGUAUGCUUACAGAGCCAUUUUCUUUCUUGCACAAGUGUUUGCACUACGUUCUACUGUAUGUUUACAGAGCCAUUUUCUUUCUUGCACAAGUGUUUGCACUACGUUCUUCUGUAUGUUUACAGAGCCAUUUGCUUCCGACACCAGUUAAGCAAAUUUUUUUAUACAUUUAGAUACAACUUUUGUUACUGUACCAUAAAAGUUUAAUAUAUUUGGAACUAUAUUUGAUUUGUAUGAUGAAGCAAAGUAAGAUGCAUCUUUUGUUAAUAUACCAUUGAAGUUUAAUAUAUCUGGUACAAUAUUUGAUUUGUUCUUGUGUGUCAUUGUAUGAAUA